UCAACAAUCAUUCAUGCACACACACUUUUUUUUUUUAUUUAACUCUCCCUCUCUCUCUCAAUUCACCGCACAUACACACACACACUUUAUAUCUUCAUCAAAUCUCUCUCUAUCUUUUAUCUUUUAUUAAAGUUAACAUUUUCCUCUUUCUCUCCCACUAUCUCGGUUCCCUCUCUCUCCUUAUAUUAAAAUAUAUAACA
Molecule: long non-coding RNA, 200 nt
Filed under: Salvia miltiorrhiza (redroot sage)
Lineage: Eukaryota; Viridiplantae; Streptophyta; Magnoliopsida; Lamiales; Lamiaceae
Description: long non-coding RNA (SMIL_LNC011898)
Source: RNAcentral